This 1345-nucleotide long non-coding RNA is filed under the name Trifolium pratense (red clover). RNAcentral's name for it is "long non-coding RNA (TPRA_LNC014305)". Lineage: Eukaryota; Viridiplantae; Streptophyta; Magnoliopsida; Fabales; Fabaceae. The record is from RNAcentral.
GUAGAUUAGAUCAUGGGACAUAUAGAUAAUUAACUUUUCCUAGAUUAAUUUUGAUUCUACAGUGGUUGAUUUCAAUCUGGAAAUUUUCAAAAAAAAAAAAAAAAUGGUAAAAUGUGCUUUCAAUGUGGUCUAGUAUGACAUAAUAGAAGGGAUCAUCUUUGGCAGCUACGACACAACACUUUUGAUAGAGAGGGUGCUGUCUCUGGAGUCCUGCCAGUUGUACCAUAUAUUCCUGCUCUAGUAGAUGGUUUUAGCUACAACAUUAGAGAUAGCAAAAGACAUGGGCAUGGACAUCCAUAUUCAAGUGGCUAUGGUGGUUCACUGCUUGCUGGAAGCAGUGCUUAUGGGGCCUAUGAAAGUUAUUCUCUAGGAUGGGAUGGUACUGUUUGGUUGCCUAGUCAGAACAAUAUUUCUAGGAUGAGAAACCAUGCUUACUAAACAUGAUGGGUCUCCCGAGGUAGAUUUCUAUUUUUAUAAACCACUUAUCUUUUAUUUAGCAACUUCCUAUGAUAUAUAUAAGUCAGUCACAUUAUUAUAUAAGAGACUGAUACCUUAACCUGACCAGCUUCCCGUUGAGAAUUUGAUGCUCUUGUUUUACCUCUGUUCCCUUUCCCUUACCAUCCAAACAGCCGAGAUGUGUGAAGCCCGCUGCACCUACUGCUUAAACCAGAAGACCAGAUGAACCAGGAUUUGACAAAUUUAUGGCCUACCUUGCCGCAUCUACUUAGAGGACCAAACUUAUGUGGAGACUACUAAAAAUUUCCAUGUCUAUUUUACCUUAAUUACCAAACUUGAUAACUUAUGCUACCAAAAACCUAAAAAGCUGGCUUGCCUUUGUUUUUGUUUUCUUAUUUUUCUCGUUCCUUUUGACUUAAAAAAAAAAAAACAAGUAGCUAUGUUUUCCAGCAGUUGUAUACCUUUAUUGCUGAUUGUGUUUAAUUUUUUUCAUAUUGCACUGUGAAAUCCAAUGAAAUACUAAAUUUUGAUAAGAUUUGAGUAUAAAUUCGUUAUCCUUACAUCAUGCCACAUUAGCCUAUUAUAAUUAAGCAGUAAAAGUUGAGAUAUUGGGUAAUCGUUUUUAUUUUUUUUGAGUAGAACAUGAUUUUGUACCAUAUAAUUUAACCUCUAGUGUAGGAUCUAACAAGUUAUUAAAAAGGGAGUUAUUAUGGAAAAAUUGUUCUUGAUUAUGUACAUACAAGGAUUUCAGAAGUAUUAUACAAAGUUUCAAAAGCGUGUGGGUUUUCUAAUGUUUUUCCUGAAGAAUUUCCUAGAUUGCCACCUGAUAGAGAUAUUAAAUUCUCUAUAGACUUGGUUCCUAACCUUCAACUCACAUCUGUACCUCUUC